AAUCCAUAGGUUAAUGAGGCGAACCGGGGGAACUGAAACAUCUAAGUACCCCGAGGAAAAGAAAUCAACCGAGAUUCCCCCAGUAGCGGCGAGCGAACGGGGAGGAGCCCAGAGCCUGAAUCAGCAUGUGUGUUAGUGGAAGCGUCUGGAAAGGCGCGCGAUACAGGGUGACAGCCCCGUACACAAAAGCGCAUGUGCUGUGAGCUCGAUGAGUAGGGCGGGACACGUGGUAUCCUGUCUGAAUAUGGGGGGACCAUCCUCCAAGGCUAAAUACUCCUGACUGACCGAUAGUGAACCAGUACCGUGAGGGAAAGGCGAAAAGAACCCCGGCGAGGGGAGUGAAAAAGAACCUGAAACCGUGUACGUACAAGCAGUGGGAGCACAGGUUUACCUGUGUGACUGCGUACCUUUUGUAUAAUGGGUCAGCGACUUAUAUUCUGUAGCAAGGUUAACCGAAUAGGGGAGCCGGAGGGAAACCGAGUCU
Molecule: ribosomal RNA, 484 nt
Filed under: Salmonella enterica
Lineage: Bacteria; Pseudomonadati; Pseudomonadota; Gammaproteobacteria; Enterobacterales; Enterobacteriaceae
Also listed under: 2 other names
Description: partial 23S ribosomal RNA
Rfam family: Bacterial large subunit ribosomal RNA
Source: RNAcentral